AACGAACGCUGGCGGCGUGGAUAAGACAUGCAAGUCGAACGGAUCAAUUCUGUAGCAAUACAGGGUUGGUCAGUGGCGUAAGGGUGCGUAACACGUGGGCAACCUGCCCGAGAGUGGGGGAUAGCCCGCCGAAAGGCGGAUUAAUACCGCAUGUGGCGAGGGGUGACAUCACCUCGUAGCCAAAGCCGGGGCAACCUGGCGCUCUUGGAUGGGCCCGCGGCCUACCAGCUAGUUGGUGAGGUAACGGCUCACCAAGGCGAUGACGGGUAGCUGGUCUGAGAGGACGACCAGCCACACUGGAACUGAGACACGGUCCAGACACCUACGGGUGGCAGCAGUCGAGAAUUUUUCUCAAUGGGGGAAACCCUGAAGGAGCGACGCCGCGUGGAGGAUGAAGGUCUUCGGAUUGUAAACUCCUGUCAUUAGGGAACAAAGCCGGGCAUUAACUGUGUGCCGGUCUGAUAGUACCUGAAGAGGAAGAGACGGCUAACUCUGUGCCAGCCGCCGCCGUAA
RNAcentral lists this ribosomal RNA (513 nucleotides) under uncultured bacterium. RNAcentral describes it as "partial 16S ribosomal RNA". It matches the Rfam family "Bacterial small subunit ribosomal RNA", at positions 29 to 523 of the family's 1533-position model. The record is from RNAcentral.